GCCUCGGAGCAGGGUGGGGUGGAGGGCUACGGGGCAUCGGCAUUUUUUUCAUGCUCCCCCCCAAGCGAUUCCAGCGUGCACGCAAGUUGGAGAAAUGGUGCUUUUGGAACAGCCCUCGGCUCCAACGCUAAAGUCGAUUUGGGGAGCAGCAACUCUUUUCUCCUCCUAGGACUAGCUGCUGGGGGAUUCGGGCAGGCUCUCCAGAGGAACCAGCCAGUGGAGGAUGUUUGCGUGCGAGCGAUCUGGCGUCCAGCUGUGCCCCGAGGCCCAGCUUGGAGACGGCGGGUCUCCAGGUCCCCGCAGGCAACGACACGUGCGGCCGCUUCGACCUGUCUGGUUAUCUACCGAGACCGCCAGCCGACCUCGGCGGCCGCCGCGCGGCCCACCCAGACCACAGAGGUUCGCAGGAAACGCCCGGGGCUCGGGAAUUCCUACCUUGGCUGCCGGCGCUGCUCUCCGGUCCCCGGAAUCCUGCCACUCCGCUGUGCUCUGAGGAAGGGUUAUUUAACUCCGGCCCCCGCGGAUCAGCCGCACAGACCCCACUCACCUCGGGGCCUCCCAGGGCACUCGCCCUCUGCGUCCGACUGAGAUGGGGUGCCACUCCAGCAAGAGCACCGAGGUGGCGGGGGAGCCCCAGAAACCCGCAGAGCAGCCCGAGGGAGAGGAGCCAAAUCUGGGGGCUGGCCCAGAGGGCGCGGACGGCAGAGACACCUCGUUGAAGGACGGCGCCCCGGAGCAGAAGAACUGAGAUGCUUCGCUGUGGAUUCGCGGACCCUCACCUCAGCCCUGGAACUGCCUUUGGCCAGUGAAACUCGAGAGGAGCCCCGUCCCGAGAAGCUCCAAGGAGAAGGAGGAGAGGGAAAUCCCCGCCUUGGGGAUCCAGGCUGCGGAAGUCACCUUCACCAGGCUUUGCUCUGGAGCUGUGAGGGGUCGCGGCCCGGGUAGCCCUAUUUCCCCAGCUCCCCGAUAGACAGAGAGGAUGAAAGAAGUCAUCUCACAUGAUGGGACUUUUCCCUGAGCCCCCUGGCUGACUGACUGCUCUGACUGAUCAAUCUCUGCCGCUGAGAUGUGCCGGUCCUGUGACCCCCAUCCUUCCAGUGCUUCACUUCUCUGGACUCUGAAGGCUCUCUGGCCACGGUGUUGAUGGGGACGUGUGGCUGGCAGUUUCUGGUUUUGCUUUCCCUCCCUCUCCUUUUUCUAAUAGCAGUCUGAAUAGCCAGUGCCUCUCACAGGAAGCUUUGGGGUUUGGCUCAGUCCACACUGUUCGUUUGAACACUUCAAUAUUUAACUUGCAGAAUGGUUAAUGAGUUAUGGGGACAAUCAGAAUCAGACUGUGAUCAUGGCGAUGGAAGACAACAAGGCCUUGAUCAUCCAGUAAGUGGAACGCUGAGUACUGGUGGGAAGGAAGGAGGAGGGUUUCAUGUUCCUGGUGUUUUAAUCCCCAGAAAAAUGCCCCUCUACUGAUGUUCCUGUGUCUCUUCCUGUCAAUUUGAACACUCGAGCGUUUGAGCCCUCUGUAUCCAGCCUUUGGAAAUAUUUCGCUGUUUACUCACAUGUCUGUCAGCCUCUCUUUUCCCCCUCCUUUCAUGUGUUUUGCUUUUAAUGUGACUCAGAAGCAUUUUAAUUUGAAAUCAAACAGACAUGUUUGCAAAUAAAUGAUGACACAACACGUUUGAAAGACAGGACUGGGGAGCUGAG
Molecule: long non-coding RNA, 1698 nt
Organism: Cervus hanglu yarkandensis (Yarkand deer)
Lineage: Eukaryota; Metazoa; Chordata; Mammalia; Artiodactyla; Cervidae
Source: Ensembl